This 100-nucleotide transfer RNA is filed under the name Aspergillus aculeatus ATCC 16872. RNAcentral describes it as "tRNA-Thr". It matches the Rfam family "tRNA". Rfam says of the family: Transfer RNA (tRNA) molecules are approximately 80 nucleotides in length. Their secondary structure includes four short double-helical elements and three loops (D, anti-codon, and T loops). Further hydrogen bonds mediate the characteristic L-shaped molecular structure. tRNAs have two regions of fundamental functional importance: the anti-codon, which is responsible for specific mRNA codon recognition, and the 3' end, to which the tRNAs corresponding amino acid is attached (by aminoacyl-tRNA synthetases). tRNAs cope with the degeneracy of the genetic code in two manners: having more than one tRNA (with a specific anti-codon) for a particular amino acid; and 'wobble' base-pairing, i.e. permitting non-standard base-pairing at the 3rd anti-codon position. RNAcentral also lists the same sequence under 7 other names. Lineage: Eukaryota; Fungi; Ascomycota; Eurotiomycetes; Eurotiales; Aspergillaceae. The record is from RNAcentral.
GCCGCGGUGGUGUAGUGGUAUUAACAUUGCAGAGCCCCCGUACUAGCCUUAUGCUAGCGGUGUGGAGUGCAGAUUCUGGGUUCGAGUCCCAGUCGCGGCA